CCGUAGGGUGAACCUGCGGAAGGAUCAUUAUUGAAAUGAAACUUGAUAAGUUGCUGCUGGCUCUCUAGGGAGCAUGUGCACACUUGUCAUCUUUGUAUCUUCACCUGUGCACCUUUUGUAGACCUGACUAUCUCUCUGAAUGCUCUCUAUAGCACUUGGGAUUUAGGAUUGACUUCCAGUCUUUCCUUACAUUUUUCAGAUCUAUGUUUAUCCAUAUACCCUGAUGUAUGUUUAUAGAAUGUAAAUUAUUGGCUUUUUUGCCUAUAAACCUUUUACAACUUUCAGCAACGGAUCUCUUGGCUCUCGCAUCGAUGAAGAACGCAGCGAAAUGCGAUAAGUAAUGUGAAUUGCAGAAUUCAGUGAAUCAUCGAAUCUUUGAACGCACCUUGCGCUCCUUGGUAUUCCGAGGAGCAUGCCUGUUUGAGUGUCAUUAAUAUAUCAACCUCUUUGGUUGGAUGUGGGCUUGCUGGCCUCUUGGGUCAGCUCACCUUAAAUGUAUUAGCAGACGACAUUUUGCCAACUGUUCAUUGGUGUGAUAAUUAUCUACGCUAUUGAUGUGGUGAAGCGAUGUCAGCUUCUAACGGUCCAGGACUGGACAA
Molecule: ribosomal RNA, 599 nt
Filed under: Calonarius suaveolens
Lineage: Eukaryota; Fungi; Basidiomycota; Agaricomycetes; Agaricales; Cortinariaceae
Description: eukaryotic LSU rRNA
Rfam family: 5.8S ribosomal RNA (bases 277-430)
Source: RNAcentral